GCUGGGCACGGUGGCACAUGCUUGUAGUCCCAGCUACUCAGGAGGCUGAGGCUGGAGGAUGUCUUGAGUCCAGGAGCUCUGAGUUGUAGUGCGCUAUGCCGAUCGGGUGUCCGCAUUAAGUUCGGCAACAAUAUGGUGACCUCCCACGAGCAGGGGACCACCACGUUGCCUAAGGAGGGGUGAACCGGCCCAGGCUGGAAACGGAGCAGGUCAAAACUCUCAUGCUGAUUAGUAGUGGGAUCACGCCUGUGAAUAGCCACCGUACUCCAGCCUGGGCAACAUAGCGAGAGCCCGUCUCU
RNAcentral lists this signal recognition particle RNA (299 nucleotides) under Aotus nancymaae (Ma's night monkey). RNAcentral describes it as "Metazoan signal recognition particle RNA (ENSANAG00000003636.1)". It matches the Rfam family "Metazoan signal recognition particle RNA". From Rfam's summary of the family: The signal recognition particle (SRP) is a universally conserved ribonucleoprotein. It is involved in the co-translational targeting of proteins to membranes. Lineage: Eukaryota; Metazoa; Chordata; Mammalia; Primates; Aotidae. The record is from RNAcentral.